Molecule: small nuclear RNA, 106 nt
Organism: Artibeus jamaicensis (Jamaican fruit-eating bat)
Lineage: Eukaryota; Metazoa; Chordata; Mammalia; Chiroptera; Phyllostomidae
Source: RefSeq, a predicted model, not a curated record
GUGCUUGCUUAGGCAGGACAUACACUAAAAUUGUAAUGCUGCAGACAAGGUUAGCAUGGCUUCUGCGAAAGAUGACAUGUAAAUCUGUGAAGCAUUCCAUAUUUAA